RNAcentral lists this ribosomal RNA (339 nucleotides) under Nematoda environmental sample. Its description in RNAcentral is "bacterial SSU rRNA". It matches the Rfam family "Eukaryotic small subunit ribosomal RNA", at positions 1300 to 1665 of the family's 1831-position model. The record is from RNAcentral. Lineage: Eukaryota; Metazoa; Nematoda.
CGUGGAGUGAUUUGUCUGGUUUAUUCCGAUAACGAGCGAGACUCUAACCUACUAAAUAGUUGAUAUUUUUUAUAAGAGUAUACAACUUCUUAGAGGGAUUUGCGGUGUUUAGCCGAAAGAAUUGAGCAAUAACAGGUCUGUGAUGCCCUAAGAUGUCUGGGGCUGCACGCGCGCUACAAUGAAAAUUGCAGCGCGUGUGACCAUAUUCGAAAGAAUUUGGUAAACGAGUCAAAUUAUUCCGUAUUUGGGAUCGAAUAUUGUAAUUAUUAUUCGUGAACGAGGAACUUCAAGUAAGUGUAAGUCAUCAGCUUACGCUGAUUACGUCCCUGCCCUUUGUAC